GGGGAGGACUUUUUUUCUGACCCACGCUGUUCGGUCGGGUGUUUAGCAUGGUUAGUCUGUAGCUACGGGAUGGGCGGAGGUGUUAGCAGAAUAAGCACGGGUGUUAUCAAUAAGCACGGGUGCCCAGCCCCCCUCCGUCGCCCUGAUUCCUCUACCUCUCCCCUCGUCUGCCGCCGCCACCACUCACCACCGUCCUCCCCCACAGCCGUCGUCACCAUUGGCACCCUCCUCCACAGCUGAUGCCCCACCCCCUUCUUUUAUCUCCUCAUCUUCUCCCCACCAAUGGCGACCUCCUCCCCUCCCACUCGCCCCAGAUCGAGGAGCUGGUCCGGAUCGGAUGCAGGCUCAAAUCUCACACGCCCACAUCGCUGCUUUAGCUUGAGGACGCCAUGGACAAGGGCUCUAUCCCGCUCUCGCUCCGCCGUCGAUCCGUCCUUCUCGUCGCCCACGCCCUAUAGUAUGGGCGGCGGUGGUCGCUGCGGUUGUGGGUGUCUCCGCUCUCGCGGUAGGCCAUGGCCCUCCUCAUCACCCGCAUAAUCUGCCUCUGCUGUUGCUUUCGUCAGGUGUGAAGUGAGUCUCAAUUUCUAUUUCUGCUGAUUAGUAAUUAUUUUCUGUUGGUGGAUAUUCACAGAAAUUUAGGGAGUAUCUGUCAUCAAAAGAUUUUAGCAAUCUACGCUCCAAAGCUUAUUUCAGGGUCAAGUGAAGGUGGGGCGUGGUUUAUUUGAGGUCAUGCCUGUGUUUACAGUCGAAGAUUCCAACACACAUAGGCAUCUGUGUGAGAUUGUAUGGGUCAUUAUUUUGGGGUGAAGAAUAUUGAUAGGGUGUAGUUCAUUUGCAAAACAGUGACCCUGAACUUGUUUCUGUAUACAAAUUUGCCAUAUUAUAGAUGGAUUCUUCAUAGAAUUGUUUAGAUUGUUUACUGAAAAUUGCAAGAAGGAACUUGAGACAAUUAAUAAGGCAAUAUCCAUUUGAACCACCAAAGGGAGAUCCAAGAAGGAGCUAAUUGUCCCCAUGGCGUCGCAUCGUCGUGAGGAGGACAAAAGUGAGCACGGUACCUUCGACAAGUCAAUCCCAUUUCCCCCCUUCUAUGCGACGCAGAUAGGUCACACUGAUUCAACAAGUAUGUGCUAUUUGUUGUGCACAAAUUAAACAUUUAUGCAAUUAGGAUGUGGAUCUUUGAGAUAUUCAGCUUUGUAUGUUGAUUGGGGAUUAGUUGUUAGUGAAAGAGACAGAGAAAUAGAGGGAUUUUUUUUCAAAAAAAGUUUAGAUAUUGAGUUGUACGCCUACUUUAGAAUGUAAUCUUGGUGUUCAAACUGCACUAUACCAUUACUAAAAAGAUUUGGAAUUUAUAUUGUAUGUGAUUGGUUUGUAGGGCUGUAGGCUGGUGACAUACAUACUGGUUAAGGGUAGAUAUAUGUGAUUUGUGUGCCGUGUCGAAUCUAGGUAACACAAUGCUCCAAACUCAGAUCAAAGGAAAAAGCUGAUCAAUAGGUUUCAGCCAUGGUUAGCCUCUCUUGCAAUUUUGUGACGUGAGGUUUUUUUUUUGAAAGAUCCAGCGUUGCUGGCUUUUCAUUGAUUAAGCAGGGAGCAUGCGGGAAAAAGUUCAUGAUCAAGUGAUCAUGGUGGGGGUUACAGAGUUGGCGCCACUAGUGGGAACGCCAUUUGACCAAAAAGAUGGCACAAAAAUCAGCCUGGGUCACCGAGUGGUGUUUCCAGGCAUUUGGCCCCGGCAAGCCUCCACGAAUCCAUGUCUUGCCUUAUUGCUGCAAGGAUUUCACCACUCUGUCAUUGGCGAUCUCUGAAAGUUCUUGCAUUUCUCUCCAGCCAUAUAUGCCAGGCCACCAGCAUCAAUGUGGACUGCACCCUUUUCCUAUUUGCCGUUCCGGCUGCGCGCAUGGCACACCUGAACCGUUGCUUUGACGAUCCUGAAGGCCCGUUUGGUGCGGCUAAGAGAAUGGCGCAACCCGGGAGGGAGGCAACCUUUCGCCAAACUUCCUGAGACAGCGGGCACUCCCAGAGCAGAUGAACUGGUGAUUCAAGGCUUCGCAUGCACAGCCGACAGAAAUAGCCAUUUACCCAGCCCCUCCUUUGCAAUCUGUCAAUGGAUGCAGAUUAGCUUGGUGGCCUGCAUCUAUAUUUCUUUGUAGUUUUUUUCAUGUUGUUUGGCUAAUAGUUCUGCUCUGUAUCAUCUCCAAACAAGGGUUAGUUAGCUAUCUUUAGAUCUUUUUUGGUACACAAACACUGCAUGUAUUUGUAAGUAUAGCAGGAUUUAAAUCUGUUUUGUAUUUACAUGGCAGAACUACCACUUAAAUUAGUGCCUUUUAUUUCUUCAUCAAAAAAGGUUGCUCUUUCAGUUUCCUCCAAGUCCAAGUUCAGUUUGAACUAUCCAAACAGGGAUUUACUGAUUGUAUAUUCUUUGCCCACUUGCUAUUUUUUUUGCUCAUGCCGUCAUUGUGAUUAGAAAAAGUAGGAUCAUAACGUUUUUAUAUGGUUGGUCACUCUUUAGACUACGGUGUUGAAGACACAGCUUUACCUCUUCAACCAUCUGUGAACUAUAUUGUGCCAGAAUUGGUCCGUAGUGGUGAUUCUAAAUUAGGCUUUACCUGUGACAUAUUUAGUUUUGGAUGCUUGGCUUACCACUUAGUUUCUCAUAGACCACUUCUGGAUUGCCAUAAUAAUAUGAAAAUGGUAUCUCUUUUAAUCUGGCACAUGCUUUGUCAAAAUAUAAUGUAUUUAAUCUGGACUUCGCUCUACCUUUGACAUAUGCUAUGGCUGCAUAUGUAGAAAAUAUACUGACAUGUCCCCCUCUAAUUGCAGUAUAUGAAUUCAUUGACAUAUUUAACAAGUGAAGCCUUUUCUAAUAUUCCUACUCAUCUGGUGGUUGAUUUGCAAAAUAUGCUAUCAGUUGAUUUGGAAGCACCUCCAUCCUUUGCGACAACUGAUAUCUAUAUUCUUGAUACUUAUCUAUUACUGUAUCAGCAACAUGAAUAAAUCAGUUUUGCUUUGGUCUCUUGGACUGAAUGAGGUUUGGUUAACUCAUUUUGGUUUCGUCUGUGCUUCUGUACAGGAGAAUUUUCGUUGGGGGUGUAGCCUGGGAGACAACCGAAGGUAGGUACGAGUAAUUCUUGUAGGUUAUUUUGAUAAUGAUGGGGGCGAUUUUAGAUUUGUGGCGAACGAUGUGGGUGGGCCAGUUUAGAAUGCAGCAACAGUUCUAAAAUGACGAACUGUGCUUCUUCGUAUUUCAAGUUGUAUCGCUUUAAUUUCACGCAAAAAAAUUUUGUGUCGCUUUAAUAAUUUCAUGGUCCUUUUAAUAGAUUUCACUUAAAUGCGCAUUGUUAUGUUUUUCUCAUGAUUUAAUAUUCUGUACAUGAAACAUAUCGUAAAAGCUCACCAAGUUUGUCAUCCCAUGUUCAGUCGCUAUGAGCCUAUGAAGAUUACUCUUGGCCACCAGAGCGUUGGCCUUCUUAUAAUAAGAUGAUGAGCCAAUUGUCAAGCUGCUAGCUAUUUGUGCAGCUACAUUCCGUUAGAGAACAGUCACUAAUUGGGAAUAAAAAAUGCACAGCCUUGAGUAAGAGAGGAUAAUUGGUUAGCAUUUCUUCACCUUUGAGGUUCGUCGUGGCAGUCAUCAAGUCCUGACCAGGGCCACAUUGCAGAAACAUCAAACCAUGUUGAUGUUUAUUUUAUUGAUGAUAAAUGUCAGGUAUAAUCUUGUAUCUCUUUUUCAAUUGCAUGUGUGUGUGUCUUUAUGUUUUGUAUUUCAAAUAAAGCAUACAUCUUUCCCUUUCGUGAGUCUCAAAUGAGCUGAUACUGGUAUUCUCCAAUUAUGUACCUAUUGGCUACUCCCUCCGUUCCAAAAUAAUUAUCUUUCUAGCCAUCUCAAAUGGAGUACAACAUACGAAUGUAUGUAGACAUGUUUUAGAGUGUAGAUUCACUCAUUUUGCUCCGUAUGUAGUCACUUGUUGAAAUCUCUAGAAAGACAAUUAUUUAGGAACGGAGGGAGUAUAUAUUUCCCUACCAUAUUGCUUUUCCUCCUCAAAUGCCGAAUUGAAUAUUUAUGUUUGUUAGAAGCUUAUGUACUAUCAGACCGGAGACGUUAAGUACAAAAUCACUGAUGUGCCUCCCCUGACCAUGGUGUGUCCACGAGGGGCUAGGAAUUUAUGUUCUAAUGGGAUCUAUUUGAUCUGUAGCCAGACGACAUGCUAGCAUGCCUACGCAGGUUGUCACUGAGCCCUCUUAAUUUGGACAAGCUUCUUCAAACGAUUGUAGACUACUUUAACUCUUGACUACAUUGUUUUAUCGUUUUUGAAGCAUAUAUAAUAGUUUCCAUCUUAGCUAUUGGCACUGCAAGGUAUCCCAAUAUACAAUGUUUUGUCUGCGAGAAACAUUGAUGAUAUUUUCAAUUGAAGUAACAGUAGCAUAACAUGCUUCUAAUCAGACAUCAUUUGACAUCUUACCUAUCCUCUUAUUGGUUUAUUUUUUAUCCCUUAUUCUAUAAUACUGGUUUGGGUUAUUUGAGGAAUUAAACAUUGGAAACACAAUUUAGUUAAUAUUGGGUUCAUUUCUUUGGGGAGCUAAGCCAUGUAUUUGCUAUUUCAGUAACAGGGUUAGUUUGUGUAAAAUAGAUAAAUGUCUGCUAGCUUCUUAGGCAUUGAAUAAAAAACAAUUAAUCCCUUGCUAAAUAUACUAGGGUAAUGUCCUGGUCCAACCUUUGCUUGGGUUGUAAAGAAGCGAGUAGCCAUUCUACUUUUGUCUAAGCUGAGCAUAUGCUUUGAUGUAUUUCUUCGGUGAACAACACCAGAUUUUCUUAUGAGUUGGCCUAUUUAUAUUGUGAUAUAUUUACAUAACGCAUUCUCCAAGUAAAUCACAAAGUAUGCAUCUAUACUGGAAAUGAAGCCCUCAAACCUGACAUGCAUCAAAUACUUAGGUCAAUCGGUGCUUGUUUUUUGUUACCCCCAAUGUGUUUUGCAUGCUGGCAUGCUUGACAAUCUGGUUUGACUAAUUAUCCUCUCGGUCAUGGUGUGUAUGAUUGUAGGUGCUUCAUGGUUUAUGGAUUAAUGGCUCUGGAAAUAACAAACAUGUUGAAUGAAUUUGGAUCCAUAAAUAUGACUGAUCAACAAAAGUCACAAAGAAAGUAGUUUGACAUUUAUCAUCUUAUCGAUCCAUGCCAUGUAUGUUAUGAACAUGUUUUUAAAAAGUAGUCUUGGUGUAAAGUGCAAAUUGGUUUCCAUCUAAUGGCAGCUCUCCCCCCUUUUCCAUCUCUCUGUUUUGUAGAUGGCAGAGCAACUUAUCAUACAUACACACUCAAAUUUAUUUUGUUGAGAGUUUGUUCAUUUUCUUCUUAUUGAUCCAUCAAAGAAUGACUAUAGUGAAUAUUUUAUAUGCACUAUAUUUUCUAUUGUAUAUAGUUAUACUGGUCCUUUUUCUCAUUUUGUUCUGUUGUAAUCUUAUAAUUUGUAUUUGCAAUCUGUAGUACUUGUCCGUUUCGCCGAGGUGCAUCUCCAUCCACCCGGGCAUGGAUUACCUGCCCAUGAAGUUUGGAAGUGGGAGCUACAAAUCGUCUUUGUCGCCCCGAACAUAGCCUUUGAGUGUGUUGCCCACUAGAAGAAACUGCAUCUAUAUAGCUUGUGUAGCAAGUUUCUUCAUUCAGAUGCUUUUCUAUCAUGUACUCUAUAAUCCAACUGCCUUGCCUGAUUUUUGAACCAGCUACCAUAUAUGUAAAUGCAUCAUCUAACAAGGUCUACUGCUGCGUGCUACUCCCCAAAAUUUAAUAUACUAUCACCUCUAAUGGAUUUCAGCUAGAUUUAUGUAUCUAUAAUUGUGUCCCCAGUUCCAUCUCCAUGUGUCACACCGAUGACCAAAAAAGCCAACGCAAAGUGCGCUUCCUACUUGGCACCACAGAAUUACAUACCCAAUUCUUAGACAAGAUUGUGCCGCAGAGGAGGGCUCUCAGGAGGCCCGCAGUCGCGGGCCCCAACCACUAGUAUAUCUCUACUCAUAAUGGACGACUUGUGAAUAGUCUGCACGGUUUUUUUUCGCUGUUUUUUUUCGUCAUUCUCCCAUCUCCGUUUUAUUUUCGUCAUCCUUCCACCACUUUCGUCCGGGUUUUUUUCGUCCUGGAAAAACCUACGAAAAAAACCAGGACUCGCACGCACGAGCGAGACUGCCCUCGAGCGAAAUCAAAGGAACGAGGCCCCCUCGACUCCUUUCUCGAUCUGUUCCUAGGGUGUGAACGCCGCCGCCGCCGAUCCCAUCUUCCCCGGCGACAUGCCUCGCCGGCGGCCUCCUCUCCCCCAUCCACGCUGGCGACCACCCUCUACCCCGCCCUCUUCGUCAACCCGUCUCUCCAGUAGCUCGGGCGAAACCCUAGCCCACCCGCCACGGCGACCUAGCAGGCAGGCGGGAGGAGCCCUGCCCGGCCAUGGCGACACCGUCGGCGGCCUCCUCCUCCCCCUCACCUUCUCUCCCUCUCCCAAGGGAGGGAAGGGAAUGGAAGGGAUCCGGCGGCAAGGGGAGGCAGCGCCUAGAUCCGCAGCCGCACCGGCGUGCCGCCGUCCCUCGAGGUCGUCCAUGGAGGUCCGACCCUCCCUUCAGCCAUGGACUCAGACGCCCGAAACCCUAGCUACCCGUGGAGGUCCGACGCCUCAACCUCCAAGGAAAGGACGCGCGCCGGCUGCAGGCCAUCUCCGGCGACCUCCGACCAUGGUUGCUCGGAUCUGGACCAGCUGCUGCUCCUACUGCUUCAGGUGGACGAGGACGAGCCCUCCCUCAUGGUUGCUGCGGCUGCCUACUCCCUUGGUCACCACGCCCCUCCCGUGCCUGGGGUCUCCUUUCUCUCCCGCAGCGGCCACAGUAGGCGCGUGUGGCUAGAAGGGUUGAGGGAGCGAGGUCGGUGCCCCCAGGGCGGACGCGGCCGGAGGUCGACGAUGAGCAAGGGUAAGUGUUAGUGGCGGCCUGAGUCUACCCCGCAUCUUUAUCGCCGAACUCAUCUUAGGUCUGUUGCUGGGGCUAAACGGCACGGUGGCGGCAGGUGGCUGCUGUGGCAGAACCAGCCAUCUUCCCGAUCCAGGCUGCCCAGGCAGGUUCCAGCCGGGCAUCCGCUGGCCACGCGCAUAAAUGUAUCAGGAAUGAGCCGGCCGUUCUACAGUUUGGAAUAUAAUCGGACGAAGAGCGGAGGAAAGUGGACCAUGAACAAUGGCGUGGCUCCGUAAUGUGGGACACCUCGCCAUUGAGGCGAGCGGCGGCUGCAUAUCCCACACCACACUUACCAUCCGCACGAGGGGCCAUGGCCAAGCGAUGAAUUUUGCUCUGCACCUGGCUGGGAGCUUCUGCCUUGGCCUGCUCUUGACCAGCGGACAUUGAGAUGUGCAGGCUUGGGACGGGCACGAGGACAAAGAUCAUUGUGCUGCCAUUUUGCAUAUUAGGGGAAGAUUCGGGUCAAUGAGAUGUGCUUGGUUCAACCCAUGGCCUUGCUUUGGUGGUUGUUGACAUGAUUUACUCAUGGAAUUUGUAUAAUUCAUAUUGACCUGAAUAUGUAUAAU
Molecule: long non-coding RNA, 7538 nt
Organism: Triticum dicoccoides
Lineage: Eukaryota; Viridiplantae; Streptophyta; Magnoliopsida; Poales; Poaceae
Exons: 5
Source: RefSeq, a predicted model, not a curated record